RNAcentral lists this non-coding RNA (832 nucleotides) under Microlophus thoracicus. Its description in RNAcentral is "partial 12S ribosomal RNA". It matches the Rfam family "Bacterial small subunit ribosomal RNA". The record is from RNAcentral. Lineage: Eukaryota; Metazoa; Chordata; Lepidosauria; Squamata; Tropiduridae.
CUUGCCGUUGUUUUUGAUUAAAAUUACACAUGCAAGUAUCCGCACACCCGUGAAAAUGCCCCAAACAAAACGGAGCGGGCAUCAGGCACGAACCCUCAGCCCAAAACGCCUUGCUACGCCACACCCCCACGGGACAUCAGCAGUGAUAAGUAUUAAGCCAUGAGCGAGACGACACAUUAAAGCUCGACUUAGUUAUAAUCAUAACCCAAGGGCCGGCCAAUCUCGUGCCAGCCGCCGCGGUUAUACGAGAGGCCCAAAACAACGACAAAACGGCGUAAAUUGUGACUAGAAUUACUAAGCCCCAAACUAAGAAAUAAACCACCACCUUACCGUAAAACCCAGGUGGUAUGAAACUUCUUAUCCCAAAGCAAUUUGAACCCACGAAAACUAAGAAACAAACUAGGAUUAGAUACCCUACUAUGCUUAGAUGUAAAUAAGACGACCAACCAACAAUUAAUCGUCCGCCAGAGAACUACAAGCGAAAAGCUUAAAACUCAAAAGACUUGACGGUGUCCCACACCCGACUUAGAGGAGCCUGUCCUAUAAUCGAUAACCCACGAUAAACCCCACCAUCCUUUGCUAAAUCCGCCUAUAUACCGCCGUCGCAAAUCUACCUUUCAAAAGAACAGCAGUAGGUACAACAGUAACUAACGCUAAAACGUCAGGUCAAGGUGUAGCUAAUAAGAUGGAAGAGAUGGGCUACAUUCUUUACACCAUAAAGCAAACAGGAAAAACCUUGAAACAGGUUUCAAAAGGAGGAUUUAACAGUAAAGCUGGCAAGAAAGCCACCUUUAAACCCGCUCUGGGACGCGUACACACCGCCCGUCACCCU